AUGCACGCUGGCGGCGUGCCUAAUCCAUGCCAGUCGAGCGAACGGACGAGAAGCUUGCUUUUCUGAUGUUAGCGGCGGACGGGUGAGUAACACGUGGAUAACCUACCUAUAAGACUGGGAUAACUUCGGGAAACCGGAGCUAAUACCGGAUAAUAUUUUGAACCGCAUGGUUCCAAAGUGAAAGACGGUCUUGCUGUCACUUAUAGAUGGAUCCGCGCUGCAUUAGCUAGUUGGUAAGGUAACGGCUUACCAAGGCAACGAUGCAUAGCCGACCUGAGAGGGUGAUCGGCCACACUGGAACUGAGACACGGUCCAGACUCCUACGGGAGGCAGCAGUAGGGAAUCUUCCGCAAUGGGCGAAAGCCUGACGGAGCAACGCCGCGUGAGUGAUGAAGGUCUUCGGAUCGUAAAGCUCUGUUAUUAGGGAAGAACAUAUGUGUAAGUAACUGUGCACAUCUUGACGGUACCUAAUCAGAAAGCCACGGCUAACUACGUG
RNAcentral lists this ribosomal RNA (496 nucleotides) under uncultured bacterium. RNAcentral describes it as "partial 16S ribosomal RNA". It matches the Rfam family "Bacterial small subunit ribosomal RNA", at positions 29 to 507 of the family's 1533-position model. The record is from RNAcentral.